UACGUAGGGUCCAAGCAUUAUCCGGAUUGACUGGGUGUAAAGAGUUGCGUAGGUGGCAUGGUAAGUAGACAGUGAAAUCUGGUGGCUCAACCAUUCAGACUAUUGUCUAAACUGCCAAGCUCGAGAAUGUUAGGGGUAGCUGGAAUUUCUAGUGUAGGAGUGAAAUCCGUAGAUAUUAGAAAGAACACCGAUAGCGUAGGCAGGCUACUGGGACAUUUCUGACACUAAGGCACGAAAGCGUAGGGAGCAA
RNAcentral lists this ribosomal RNA (250 nucleotides) under uncultured prokaryote. RNAcentral's name for it is "partial 16S ribosomal RNA". It matches the Rfam family "Bacterial small subunit ribosomal RNA", at positions 524 to 771 of the family's 1533-position model. The record is from RNAcentral.